UUUGAUCCUGGCUCUGGAUGAAUGCUAGUGGUAUGCCUAAUACAUGCGAGUCGAGCGAAUUUUUUUUGCGGCGUACGGGUGAGUAAUACGUAGGAAUUUGCCUUUUAGUAUUGGAACAAGUAGCUUUAUGUAAUAAAAGAAGACUUACGGGUCCUAUAAAUUCCGAUAAUAACAUCUGGUGAUGUUAAAAAAGUUUUACUUGCUAAAAGAUAAGCCUUCGGAGGAUUAGGUAGUUGGUAAAAUAAAAGUUUACCAAGCCUGUGAUCCUUAGCUGACUUGAGAGAGUGAUCAGCCACAUUGGAACUGAGACAAGGUCCAAGCUUUUUUAUAAGCCAGCAGUAUGGAAUAUUAGACAAUGAACGAAAGUUUGAUCUAGCAAUACCACCUGAAUGAUGACAGCUAAUUUGGUUGUAAAGUUCUUUCGUCAAAGAAGAUUAUGACGGUAUUUGAAGAAGAAGUUCCAACCAAUUUCGUGCCAGCAGUUGCGGUAAUACGGAAGGAGCAAGCAUUAUCCAUAAUAAUUGGGUGUAAAGCGUUCGUAGGCGGUAUUACCAGUCUUUUGUUAAAUCCCGGAGCUUAACUUCGGUAGGGCAUUAGAUACUGUUUUACUUUGAGUUUAAAAGAGAAAAGUAGAAUUUUACAUGGAGAGGUGGAAUUCUGAGAUAUGUAAAGGAAUAUCAUAGGCGAAAGCGACUUUUUAGUUUAGACUGACGCUGAGGAACGAAAGCAUAGGUAGCGAGCAGGAUUAGAUACCCUAGUAGUCUAUGCCGUAAACGCUGAGUGCUCAGAUUUCGAUAGUUUAUUGGAAUCUUCUAGUUAACACGUUAAGCACUCCACCUGAAGAGUAUAUCCGCAAGGACGGAAUUCAAAGGAAUNNGNNGGGNUAANNACAAGCNGUGGAGUAUGUGGUUUAAUGCGAUAAUACACGCAGAAUCUUACCAGACCUUGAUAUCAUAAUGAAGAUUUAUUUUAAGAAUAAAUUAAUGAAGUUUUUCAUUUUCAUUUUAGACAGGUAUUGCAUGGUUGUCGUCAGUUCGUGUCGUAAGAUGUUUGGUUAAGUCCUUUAACGAACGCAACCCUUAUUUUUAGUUAUUUUAUUUACAUAAAAAAUCUAAAAAAAUUGCUGGCAAUAAGCCAGAUGAAAGUAAGGAUAACGUCAAAUCCUCAUGGUCCUUAUGGUCUGGGCUACACACAUGCUACAAUGGUAAUCACAAUUAGUAGCAAAUUUGAAAAAAAGAGCCAAUCUAAAAAAAUUAUCGUAGUUCGGAUUGUAGGCUGAAACUCGCCUACAU
This 1292-nucleotide ribosomal RNA is filed under the name metagenome. Its description in RNAcentral is "bacterial SSU rRNA". It matches the Rfam family "Bacterial small subunit ribosomal RNA", at positions 12 to 1321 of the family's 1533-position model. The record is from RNAcentral.